Molecule: long non-coding RNA, 1836 nt
Organism: Rhinolophus ferrumequinum (greater horseshoe bat)
Lineage: Eukaryota; Metazoa; Chordata; Mammalia; Chiroptera; Rhinolophidae
Exons: 2
Source: RefSeq, a predicted model, not a curated record
CCGCAGGAGGCGCGUGACGCCCUCCCGGAGGAGCUGCUCAUGGUAGGUCUGCACCGCCUGCUCCAGCCGCGCCUUCUUUCUCCUCCUCUCCAGCACGAAGCCCAGCCACGCGGCCCACGCCUCCAGGGAGACGAGGAGGAUUUAUACAAACGACUACACCACUGUCAGUUUCGAAUGGAGAAGGCUGUGUGGGGACAAUGUUGGGGUGUCAGCCCACACUCGGUAAAACCACAUGUGACGGCCACUGCUCUGAGGACAGCUCCGGCCACCUUCAGCUCCUGUGAGCACCCUGGCUCUGGAACCAGGUCUGCUGUUUGCUGUUCUGACCCCUCAAGUGCCCACCAGGGGUACAACAACUGCAGGUGUGCCAAGGCCCCCUUGGAGUGAGCUGCAAAAUGCUGCCGGGUGACCCAGAAGGAACACCAAGGACUGCUGGGAGCCACCAGAAGCUGGAAGAGGCCAGGGAGGAUUCUCCCUAAGCCUUGUGAGGGGGCAUGGCCCUGCCAACCCCUUGAUUUUGGAGUUGGCCUCCAGAACUCUUGAGAACAGUUUCCUGUGGUUUUAAGCCUCCCAGUCUGUGGUGCUCUGUGACCUCAGCAACAGGAAACUAAUACACAUGAGGAGACGAAAACCGAGGGGAAGUGAACAGCACACCACGCUCGUUCUGGGUCCUUCACAACCCUCUCCUCAGCGUCCGGGCCCCGCUUACCCCGAUCCAGCACCUUCUGGGCCUCCGCCAUGGCACAGGCCUCCUGCUGUCGGUAGUAUAUCUGCACAGACGCAGCCUCUCGCCACUGGACCAGGACCUAAGGGGCAGACGAAGAACAGAGAGGUGAUCGUGGCACCUCCUGACAUCCUGGGGGCAGCUCCUCGUGGCGUGAGGCCGGCAGUGGACACGCAGCACUCCCACGCAUUCUAGGAAGUACCCACCACCCACACGUGACACACGGCUGCUGAGGACAGAAACCCCCAUUCCCUGACAGGAAGCCCAGUGUUGCGGUGAUAGGGCUUUGCUCCCAGGAGUUAAACUUCAUGCCAUAAAGGAGUAAAUAGGCUUUCCUUCCAGAAGCUACGCGUUACAUGCACGCUUUCAGAUGUGAGACUUAUGAAAUCACAGUGACAGAACGCUUUAAAAUGAAGUCAACAGCCAGGGAUACGCCUGGUGCCUGCUCCCCAAACAGUCUUGAUCUCCAUUCCUCCCCAAAAGGGCCUCCUCCCUCCUGAGCCAUGGAGCCAAGCACAGGGCAGGGGACAUACACGCUGGCCGCGGGGCUUUCCUGAGACAGACUGGGCCUUCCCCAUAUGCAACUGCUUCUCAUCCGCGGGCGCUGCCAGUCGUCAGGACCAGUCCCCCACCCCGGCCUUCCAGCAGGGCCCCAGCAAACAGUUUUCUUCUAAAACAUCCCCGAGUCCAGGGACCACCUCUGUCAUUUCCUUUGUUUGAGUCCCCUGUCUGGUAACACGUCUUCUUCCCACAGCCACAUCCUGUCACCUCUUCCCUCCCCCAGCACAUGGGACCAGACCCCCCAUGUGACAUUUUGGGGCCACUUCCCACCAACAAUGAUCAAUGGCCUCACAUCCCUGGGAUGCUCUAUGCUUUCCAGAAAGUCCUGCAGCCACAAGAGCUGCGAAGCCAGUGAGCAGGAGCAAGUGUUCUCUUCUGACAGAGGAGACAGAGACAUGGAGACUGACAGUUUGUCCCAGUGGAAAAUUCCACACGUGUAGAAAAUACUGGUUCUGUACGAGUACUGUUUCACUCACUGUGUGCUGUGUUUUCGUUUUAAUGGAUGUUGGUUAAUAAUUCAGCAAAAUAAAUAAAGUUGGAGAGUUACCCCA